UCCACCAUGAUUGCUAUCCUUCUGAAAAGAGGAAAUCUGGAUACAGAGAGAAGACCAUGGGAAGACACACAGGGAGGAGAUGGCCAUGUGCCUGGAGUGAUGUAUCUACAAGCCAAAGAGCACCAUGCAAUGCUGGCAGAGCUACCGAGAAGCUCAGAUCCAAAUCUGAAUGAAGCUCAAUUAUAGAAACCACAUUAGUCCUUACGGUUUUAUCUGCACUGAGAGGCUGGGAGCUCUACUAGAGUGGGGAUCAGCUCAUUCAUCUUUUUACCCUCUGUGCCUGUUCCAUGGAGUACCUGGGGCAUAACAGGCAUGUCUCUUUUUGGAGCCAACCAACCUACUGACCAAAUAAAAAAUUAAUAGAUGUGAUUUGUUCAAG
Molecule: long non-coding RNA, 379 nt
Organism: Acinonyx jubatus (cheetah)
Lineage: Eukaryota; Metazoa; Chordata; Mammalia; Carnivora; Felidae
Exons: 3
Source: RefSeq, a predicted model, not a curated record